AUAGAGACUCAGAGCUGCAUAUCAAUAAGCGGAGGAAAAGAAACUAACAAGGAUUCCCUCAGUAACGGCGAGUGAAGCGGGAAGAGCUCAAAUUUGAAAUCUUCAAGGUUUUACCUUGACGAAUUGUAGUUUAUAGAAGUGUUUUCUGUUAGUAGGAGUGGCAAAAGUUCUUUGGAAUAGGACAUCAUAGAGGGUGAGAAUCCCGUAUUUGGUCAUUCUUUCUAGCGUUGUGAUACACUUUCAACGAGUCGGAUUGUUUGGGAAUGCAGUCCAAAAUGGGUGGUAAAUUUCAUCUAAAGCUAAAUAUUGGCGAGAGACCGAUAGCGAACAAGUACCGUGAGGGAAAGAUGAAAAGAACUUUGAAAAGAGAGUUAAACAGUACGUGAAAUUGUCAAAAGGGAAGCGUUUGACACCAGUGUUGUUUUUCCGAAAAUCAAUUACGAAUGUUUUAGUUUUUGAGAAGUUAUGACUUCAUCGGCUUGCUUCUUUCUUUACGAAACUUUCUUAAUGCACUUUUCGGUUAACAAGUCAACAUCAAUUUCUUUUGUUGUAAAAGGGUAUGAGGAAGGUGGCUUUCCUUUCGGAGAAAGUGUUUAUAGCCUUGUACCUCUGCAAUCGGAGAGAUUGAGGUCUGCAGCGUAGAUCCUUCGGGGUUAGAUACAUUUGUGCUAAGUUAUAGCUUUUUAUAGACAACAUGUUGACUAUGAUUAGUCUUGUAGCUUACUCGCUUAUGCUAUUUUACCUACGCUUAGGAUGUUGAAGAUAUGCGCGACACG
This 776-nucleotide ribosomal RNA is filed under the name uncultured Neocallimastigales. RNAcentral describes it as "partial large subunit ribosomal RNA". It matches the Rfam family "Eukaryotic large subunit ribosomal RNA", at positions 23 to 644 of the family's 3401-position model. The record is from RNAcentral. Lineage: Eukaryota; Fungi; Neocallimastigomycota; Neocallimastigomycetes; Neocallimastigales.